GUCGAGAAUCUUGGGCAAUGCACGCAAGUGUGACCCAGCGACGCCGCGUGAAGGAUGAAGGCCCUCUGGGUUGUAAACUUCUUUUACGGGAGAAGAAUCAAUGACGGUAUCCCGUGAAUAAGCCACGGCUAACUACGUGCCAGCAGCCGCGGUAAUACGUAGGUGGCAAGCGUUGUCCGGAUUUACUGGGCGUAAAGCGAACGCAGGCGGACUGUUAAGUAGAAAGUGAAAGGUCGGAGCUCAACUCCAACAUUGCUUUCUAUACUGGCAGUCUUGAGUAGCGGAGAGGAAGGGGGAACGACACGUGUAGCGGUGAAAUGCGUUGAUAUGUGUCGGAACACCCAUGGCGAAAGCACCCUUCUGGACGCAAACUGACGCUCAGGUUCGAAAGCCAAGGUAGCGAACAGGAUUAGAUACCCUGGUAGUCUUGGCCCUAAACUAUGUUCACUAGGUGUCGGGGGGUUUCCCUCGGUGCCGCAGCUAACGCAUUAAGUGAACCGCCUGGGGACUACGGCCGCAAGGU
RNAcentral lists this ribosomal RNA (523 nucleotides) under uncultured bacterium. RNAcentral's name for it is "bacterial SSU rRNA". It matches the Rfam family "Bacterial small subunit ribosomal RNA", at positions 354 to 894 of the family's 1533-position model. The record is from RNAcentral.